AAUUAGCACAAAAAAUAUGGUAC
This 23-nucleotide non-coding RNA is filed under the name Arabidopsis thaliana (thale cress). The record is from RNAcentral. Lineage: Eukaryota; Viridiplantae; Streptophyta; Magnoliopsida; Brassicales; Brassicaceae.